ACAGUGAGUAACACGUAUCCAACCUGCCGUCUACUCUUGGCCAGCCUUCUGAAAGGAAGAUUAAUCCAGGAUGGCAUCAUGAGUUCACAUGUCCGCAUGAUUAAAGGUAUUUUCCGGUAGACGAUGGGGAUGCGUUCCAUUAGAUAGUAGGCGGGGUAACGGCCCACCUAGUCAACGAUGGAUAGGGGUUCUGAGAGGAAGGUCCCCCACAUUGGAACUGAGACACGGUCCAA
This 233-nucleotide ribosomal RNA is filed under the name uncultured bacterium. Its description in RNAcentral is "partial 16S ribosomal RNA". It matches the Rfam family "Bacterial small subunit ribosomal RNA", at positions 106 to 334 of the family's 1533-position model. The record is from RNAcentral.